UUAGGGAGACCUACUUCAGGAUAUCGUGCCUUAACAACUAUAGCCGUGUCUUGAGGUCAUCCUUAGGUCGGAUGGGGCGGUCAGAGAGCUUUCAAACUUUAGGGUUCGUGUUAUGGGCUAUUAGCUCAGGUGGUUAGAGCGCACCCCUGAUAAGGGUGAGGUCCCUGGUUCAAGUCCAGGAUGGCCCACAUCCACCCCAAACUGGGGGUAUAGCUCAGUUGGUAGAGCGCUGCCUUUGCACGGCAGAAGUCAGCGGUUCGAGUCCGCUUACCUCCACUCUCCUUUAAUUAGGUGCUAGUUGGGGUGAGAUCGGAUUUCCUCUGAUAGUCAAUUUAUCACUGUACAGCUCCUAAGUCUGUAGAUGUUAAUCUAGGACUAGAUAGCUGGACAUCUGUUCCAGUCAGAACCUUGAAAACUGCAUAGAGAAAAGCAUAAUGGUGUAGGAAAACGUCGUAAAGACAAUUCCAAUGUA
RNAcentral lists this transfer RNA (472 nucleotides) under Arthrospira erdosensis EB 9601. RNAcentral's name for it is "16S-23S ribosomal RNA intergenic spacer". The stretch from base 204 to 276 matches the Rfam family "tRNA". RNAcentral also lists the same sequence under 2 other names. The record is from RNAcentral. Lineage: Bacteria; Bacillati; Cyanobacteriota; Cyanophyceae; Oscillatoriales; Microcoleaceae.